Molecule: long non-coding RNA, 527 nt
Organism: Anguilla rostrata (American eel)
Lineage: Eukaryota; Metazoa; Chordata; Actinopteri; Anguilliformes; Anguillidae
Exons: 2
Source: RefSeq, a predicted model, not a curated record
UCCAUAAUUGCCAUUUGCCACGCCCAACUUGAUUGUGGCGAAAACCCGGAAGUAAUGUACAUAAUAUAAGGCCUUGCUACAACGCCGCGCACAACUAGAAAGCUAAAAGCCUCAUAGUGGACAGACAAGAUAGAAUGUACAAUGACUUGUGGACACGAAGGACCGCAGCUUUGCCAUUUUGAUUCUACUACGCAUCCAUGCAACCUGGAGGACAAUUAACGGGGAUCGGCGCGAUGUGGUCUGUUGGAUAACUACCCGUCUUGGUUAUAUAUGGCGGAACAAACGGUGGCUGGAAGACCAGGCCGUGGGCAUACCUGGAGGAGGGGUCAAAAGGACUGGACAGACCUGGACACCGCGACACAUCGAGAGUACCACAGCGCCUCCACAUGGCAUCCUUGGGUCAGGUCACCGCAACACAGGAUCUUGGAUGAGCCCUGGCCAUGAACUGCGACACGUUGAUUAUAAAGAGCAGGUCAAGCUGGUUGUUCUGAUGGAUGAAAGAUAAUAAAUUUGUUAAGCACUGCUCA